UUGUCUCAAAGAUUAAGCCAUGCAUGUCUCAGUACAAACUAAAUUAAAGUGAAACCGCGAAAGGCUCAUUAAAUCAGUUAUGGUUCCUUAGAUCGUACCACAUUUACUUGGAUAACUGUGGUAAUUCUAGAGCUAAUACAUGCAAACAGAGCUCUGACCGGAGACGGGAGGAGUGCUUUUAUUAGAUCAAAACCAAUUGUGGCGUCCCUAAGGCUCCAUAUGAUUCUGUAUCUUUGCAUACGUUCAUAUGUCCUGGGUGUACUGUUCACAUAAUAUAAUUGGUGAAUCUGAAUAACUUGCUGAUCGCAUGGUCUUGUACCGGCGACGCAUCUUUCAAAUGUCUGCCUUAUCAACUUUCGAUGGUAGGAUCUGCGCCUACCAUGGUUGUAACGGGUAACGGGGAAUCAGGGUUCGAUUCCGGAGAGGGAGCUUGAGAAACGGCUACCACAUCCAAGGAAGGCAGCAGGCGCGCAAAUUACCCACUCCCGGCACGGGGAGGUAGUGACGAAAAAUAACGAUACGGGACUCAUCCGAGGCCCCGUAAUCGGAAUGAGUACACUUUAAAUCCUUUAACAAGGAGCAACUGGAGGGCAAGUCUGGUGCCAGCAGCCGCGGUAAUUCCAGCUCCAGUAGCGUAUAUUAAAGUUGUUGCGGUUAAAAAGCUCGUAGUUGAAUUUGUGUCUUGCGCUGUCGGUUCAUCGCUAGCAUGCGGUGUUUAACUGGCACGUUGUGAGACGUCUUGCCGGAAGGGCAUGGUAUAUGUUUUAUUUGUGUGUCCAUAGUAUUACUAUUUAAUAUAUAUUAUUGGGGGUAACACCUUAAUAAUUUUAUUUUAUGUGUGUACUAUGUGGCCGGAUUUAACGUAUACGUAGUCCGACUUAUAAUCCUGUCUAGGUGCUCUUAACUGAGUGUCGUGGCGGGCCGGCACGUUUACUUUGAACAAAUUAGAGUGCUUAAAGCAGGCUAAUGUUGCCUGAAUAUAGUGUGCAUGGAAUAAUGAAACAGGACCUCGGUUCUAUUUUGUUGGUUUUCUGAACUAACCGAGGUAAUGAUUAAUAGGGACAGAUGGGGGCAUUCGUAUUGCGACGUUAGAGGUGAAAUUCUUGGAUCGUCGCAAGACGAACUUAAGCGAAAGCAUUUGCCAAAGAUGUUUUCAUUAAUCAAGAACGAAAGUCAGAGGUUCGAAGGCGAUCAGAUACCGCCCUAGUUCUGACUAUAAACGAUGCCAGCUAGCGAUCGGCCGAAGUUCCUCCGAUGACUCGGUCGGCAGCUUCCGGGAAACCAAAGCCUUUGGGUUCCGGGGGAAGUAUGGUUGCAAAGCUGAAACUUAAAGGAAUUGACGGAAGGGCACCACCAGGAGUGGAGCUUGCGGCUUAAUUUGACUCAACACGGGAAACCUCACCAGGCCCAGACACCGGAAGGAUUGACAGAUUGAGAGCUCUUUCUUGAUUCGGUGGGUGGUGGUGCAUGGCCGUUCUUAGUUGGUGGAGCGAUUUGUCUGGUUAAUUCCGAUAACGAGCGAGACUCUAGCCUGCUAAAUAGACGUAUAAACUCGAUUUUACGAUCGAGGACCCGGUAUUCCGAGGGUUGUCCUUCGACUACUGGCCAUUGUUUCGUUUACUUCUUCUACUUACUUUUGAGUUGUAUAAUACUAUAUAGCUUGUAUCGGCAAUGUAACUAGUUGUUUGUUGGCAAUCUUUACUACCGGCGUAUUAUUAAAUCUUCUUAGAGGGACAGGCGGCUUCUAGCCGCACGAGAUUGAGCAAUAACAGGUCUGUGAUGCCCUUAGAUGUUCUGGGCCGCACGCGCGCUACACUGAAGGAAUCAGCGUGUCCUCCCUGUCCGAGAGGUCCGGGUAAUCCGCUGAAACUCCUUCGUGCUAGGGAUUGGGGCUUGCAAUUAUUCCCCAUGAACGAGGAAUUCCCAGUAAGCGCGAGUCAUAAGCUCGCGUUGAUUACGUCCCUGCCCUUUGUACACACCGCCCGUCGCUACUACCGAUUGAAUGAUUUAGUGAGGUCUUCGGACCGGUACUCGGCCGGCUUGAAAAAGUCGCCGAAGUUGCUGGGAAGAUGACCGAACUUGAUUAUUU
RNAcentral lists this ribosomal RNA (2089 nucleotides) under Ctenostoma metallicum. RNAcentral describes it as "SSU rRNA". It matches the Rfam family "Eukaryotic small subunit ribosomal RNA". Lineage: Eukaryota; Metazoa; Arthropoda; Insecta; Coleoptera; Carabidae. The record is from RNAcentral.